CCUACGGGCGGCUGCAGUGGGGAAUAUUGCACAAUGGUGGAAACCCUGAUCCAGCGACGCCGCGUGAGUGAAGCAGUAAUUCAUUAUCUAAAGCCCUAUCAGCAGGGAAACAAAUAACGGUACCUGAGUAAGAAGCCCCGUCUAAAUGCAUGCCAGCAGCCUCGGUAAUACGUAGGGAGCAAGCGUUAUCCGGAUUUACUGGGUGUAAUGGGAGCGUAGGCGGCAGUGCCAGUCUGGAGUGAACGGCGGGGGGUCAACCCCCGGACUGCUCUGGAAACUGUACGGCUGGAGUGCAGGAGAGGUAAGUGGAAUUCCUGGUGUAGCGGUGAAAUGCGUAGAUAUUAGGAGGAACACCAGUGGCGAAGGCGGCUUACUGGACUGUAACUGACGUUGAGGCUCGAAAGCGUGGGGAGCGAACAGGAUUAGAUACCCGUGUAGUC
This 440-nucleotide ribosomal RNA is filed under the name uncultured bacterium. RNAcentral's name for it is "partial 16S ribosomal RNA". It matches the Rfam family "Bacterial small subunit ribosomal RNA", at positions 338 to 795 of the family's 1533-position model. The record is from RNAcentral.